AAUUACUGGCGGUCAGUCUGCGUCCGUUCUAUCUGCCCCGGGAGUGUUCACAUGUAAUAGCCAUUACUGUGUACAUCCCUCCCUCAGCUGAUGCGGCUGCAGCCUGUGAACUCAUCCACAGUGAAGCGUCCCAGCUGCAAACAUCACACCCUCAGUCUCUUAUUAUCAUCUCAGGAGACUUUAAUCAUGCAUCGCUCUCUGCCACUCUCCCCACGUUCACCCAGUAUGUGACCUGCCAUACCAGAGACAGUAAAACCCUGGAUCUGCUGUAUGCAAACAUCAAGGAUGCAUACAGCUCCUCCCCCCUCCCCCUGCUGGGCCGCUCAGAUCACAACCUGGUGAGACUGCAGCCCAUUUACAUACCUAUGGUGAAGAAACAACCCCCCCACCAUCAGGUAUGUGAAGAAGUGGUCUGACGAGCCCACUGAGGCGCUGCAGGACUGCUUUGAGACCACAGACUGGGAUGUACUGUGUGGUCCACAUGGGGAGGACAUUGAUUCACUGACUGACACCUACAUUAACUUCUGUGCACAGAACAUCGUACCGACCAGGAAAGUACAGUAUUUCUCUAACAGCAAACCCUGGGUGUCCCUGGAACUGAAGGAGGAGGGUUUUUGGAUCUGGGGACAAAGAGGAGCUGAGGAGGGCGCAGAAGGAGAUAAAGAAGAAGAUCAAGGCGGACAAGGCCAGCUACAGGACCAAGAUGGAAUCUCACCUGCAGGAAAAUAACACAAGGGGGGUCUGGAGAGACCUGAGAUCCAUCUCUGGUUACAGCAGAGGCCAUGAGAGGGGAGCUGCAGCAGGAGGCCAGAUUGAAUCUGUUCUUUAACAGAUUUGACUCUGCUCCCACUCCUCCCCCCUCUCAUCAAAGCACCGAUCAGCCAGCUCCUUCUUCACACCUCAGCUCUCUACCACCAACACCACCAACAGCACCCCUCCUCCGAUCCCCGUCUUCUACCACCUGCGGACUCCACAUAAGCCGCGAUUCCACAAGCAUCUACUCGGCGCGGUACGGUUCGCCACUAUUGUAUUUGACUCGGCUCGUCUCGUCUCGGUUUAGUUGUUUUUCCAUAUAGCCUCAUCGUGGGUGGAGUCGUCAUAGCACAGCGAGCCGAAAGUCCCUUAACGUCAUUUGCGUGCGACACAAACGCAACAUAACAGAGGCGAUGGUACACCUGCUGCUCGGUCUGUGGCUUUCUGUCAGAUUCAAAAUAAUAGAAGAGUCGGAGAAAGCUGAGAGCGGCGAGUCGAAACACUCAGGAGACACACAAGAGAGUUUGGGAGGCGAUGCAGCAGUAUCAAGCUGAAGACAAGAGGAUAUGAACUAGACGACAUAUGAGGAUGGCUCUCUUAUGAGCCUUCAUAGGAUUUACCUGAAGCAGCAGCACAUGAACCUGCAGUGGCACAAGGUGUAGAGGAGGAGGGCAGAAAUGUACAGGAUGCACUGAUGCAGUACGUGUCAUGCAAAAGUUAUUCUUCUCGUUAUACUUCUGUUUUCCUGUCCCCGGACCGCUAUUGUUUUCUUUAACGCAAUUCUGACAAUAAACUUUUGUACCUUUUGCAGAUGUGUCUAUGCUAGUGUUUUAUUUGUGAAGGUUAGCAAGAUUACAUGACAAAUUAAACACCAAAACAUUAAAACAGCUGUUUUAAGAAUAUUCCAGUUUGAUAAAUCAGUAUUACUUUGGUGUAAUUCAGUCAACGGAAUUAUGAACCAUUAAGGAGUUUGUGUUAAAACAUGUUAAAUCCCAUUAAACAUAAAUGCAUUAUCAGGGAAUACAGAAUUGUUUGGUUGAGACUGUUGACUCUUUUCCUACCAGUGUCUUAACAGACAAAAUGAAAAGUUAUGAUGCAGUCACAUAAGUCACAAAAUAGUUAAUUAGUCAGCAGCAAAAUCAAAACUAUUUACAAUGUGCAAAAUACAAACUGUGGUGGGCCUCUCCUACAGUGGAGGGCUAAAAGUAAAACUAUAUACAACUAAAUCUCAAGUCUCUGGGAGGUGGACUCGCUGGCUGCCCACUGCCUGCACCAGCUGCCCCAGCACACCCAGGAAUGACUGGUUGAAGGCAGCAUUCUGGGCCAUCUCCUGCACCGCAAGGCCGCUUCAUUCUCUCUUGCCUCGCUGAGGAGCAACUGGAUGUUCUCAUCAUGCUGGGCAUGACUCCACUCCUCCUCAGCCUGCAUCUCCACAAGUAUGCUUGGAAGGUCCAAUUUUCUGUUGCCCCUUUUCUUCUUGCC
This is a long non-coding RNA of Amphiprion ocellaris (clown anemonefish), 2235 nucleotides long. NCBI's taxonomy places the organism in Eukaryota, Metazoa, Chordata, Actinopteri, Pomacentridae. The record is from Ensembl.